Molecule: ribosomal RNA, 301 nt
Filed under: uncultured bacterium
Lineage: Bacteria
Description: partial 16S ribosomal RNA
Rfam family: Bacterial small subunit ribosomal RNA
Source: RNAcentral
CAGCAGCCGCGGUAAUACGAAGGGUGCAAGCGUUAAUCGGAAUUACUGGGCGUAAAGCGUGCGUAGGCGGUGAGUUAAGUCUGCUGUGAAAUCCCCGGGCUCAACCUGGGAAUGGCAGUGGAUACUGGCUCGCUAGAGUGUGUCAGAGGAUGGUGGAAUUCCCGGUGUAGCGGUGAAAUGCGUAGAGAUCGGGAGGAACAUCAGUGGCGAAGGCGGCCAUCUGGGACAACACUGACGCUGAGGCACGAAAGCGUGGGGAGCAAACAGGAUUAGAUACCCGAGUAGUCCCUGUCUCUAAUAC